AAAGAUUUGAAAUAAGGGCCAGCAUAAGUGACAUCAAAAUUAAACUGAAGAUUUGGUAGGAAAUGCAGAUUUUUGUUCCUUGAAAUUCCCUAAUGUAUAAUAAAAUAUUAAACCCAACAUUCAAGACAUAUUUUAAAAUGGUGAAAUUGAGAAGAAGCCAACUAUCGUGGAGCGUAUUAUUUUGCCUAAAAAAUGCCUAACAUAUAGCUGCCUCUCUUGCAAACGAAAUUUUCAUGAGUUGAGUGCUCUUUCAAGACACACUAGUUUUGUGCAUCCCAAGACGACCAGUGAUGAUUCAAUGGCUUUUGGACCAUCCUAAGGGUUUCAGAAAUGUUGUGUGUUAUCAGCAGUGGAAUUUUAAAGAGCAUAUGUCACUCAUUUUCUGAAAAAUAGCAAGGAAAGAUUUAUGAAGGGACUUAUUGUAUUAUACUGAUUUUUUUAGAAUAAAUAAA
Molecule: long non-coding RNA, 452 nt
Organism: Uloborus diversus
Lineage: Eukaryota; Metazoa; Arthropoda; Arachnida; Araneae; Uloboridae
Exons: 3
Source: RefSeq, a predicted model, not a curated record